RNAcentral lists this ribosomal RNA (465 nucleotides) under Vreelandella stevensii. Its description in RNAcentral is "partial 16S ribosomal RNA". It matches the Rfam family "Bacterial small subunit ribosomal RNA", at positions 338 to 795 of the family's 1533-position model. The record is from RNAcentral. Lineage: Bacteria; Pseudomonadati; Pseudomonadota; Gammaproteobacteria; Oceanospirillales; Halomonadaceae.
CCUACGGGAGGCUGCAGUGGGGAAUAUUGGACAAUGGACGAAAGCCUGAUCCAGCCAUGCCGCGUGUGUGAAGAAGGCCUUCGGGUUGUAAAGCACUUUCAGUGGGGAAGAAAGCCUUGGGGCUAAUACCCUCGAGGAAGGACAUCACCCACAGAAGAAGCACCGGCUAACUCCGUGCCAGCAGCCGCGGUAAUACGGAGGGUGCGAGCGUUAAUCGGAAUUACUGGGCGUAAAGCGCGCGUAGGCGGUCUGAUAAGCCGGUUGUGAAAGCCCCGGGCUCAACCUGGGAACGGCAUCCGGAACUGUCAGGCUAGAGUGCAGGAGAGGAAGGUAGAAUUCCCGGUGUAGCGGUGAAAUGCGUAGAGAUCGGGAGGAAUACCAGUGGCGAAGGCGGCCUUCUGGACUGACACUGACGCUGAGGUGCGAAAGCGUGGGUAGCAAACAGGAUUAGAUACCCCAGUAGUC